This 253-nucleotide ribosomal RNA is filed under the name uncultured bacterium. RNAcentral describes it as "partial 16S ribosomal RNA". It matches the Rfam family "Bacterial small subunit ribosomal RNA", at positions 524 to 776 of the family's 1533-position model. The record is from RNAcentral.
UACGAAGGGUGCAAGCGUUAAUCGGAAUUACUGGGCGUAAAGGGUGCGUAGGCGGUUCGUUAAGUCUGUUGUGAAAUCCCCGGGCUCAACCUGGGAAUGGCAAUGGAUACUGGCGGGCUAGAGUGUGGCAGAGGAUGGUGGAAUUCCCGGUGUAGCGGUGAAAUGCGUAGAGAUCGGGAGGAACAUCAGUGGCGAAGGCGGCCAUCUGGGACAACACUGACGCUGAAGCACGAAAGCGUGGGGAGCAAACAGG